GCUACUGCCAUCAGAGUUCGAUUAGGCCAUGUUAGUCGAGGGUACCUCUUCUUCUUCGGAGGAUGAGGUAACCCGGCGGACGGCUCAGUAACACGUGGAUAACUUGCCCUUGGGUCUGGGAUAACCCCUGGGAAACUGGGGCUAAUACCGGAUAGAGCAUCGAUCGCUGGAAUGCAUGAUGCUCGAAAACUACGGUGCCCAAGGAUAGGUCUGCGGCUGAUUAGGUUGUUGUUGAUGUAAUGGACCAACAAGCCUACGAUCGGUACGGGUUGUGAGAGCAAUAGCCCGGAGAUGGGUUCUGAGAAAAGAACCCAGGUCCUACGGGACGCAUCAGGCGCGAAAACUUUACAAUGUGCGGAAGCACGAUAAGGGAACUCUGAGUGCCCCCUAAGGGGGCUGUUCUAGUGUCUAAAAAGCAAUAGAAGUAAGGGCUGGGCAAGACCGGUGCCAGCCGCCGCGGUAACACCGGCAGCCCAAGUGGUAGCCACGUUUAUUGGGUCUAAAGCGUUCGUAGCCGGCUUGGUAAGUUCCUUGGUAAAUUUAGCCGCUUAACGGUUAAGCUUUCAGGGAAUACUGCUUGGCUUGGGACUGGGAGAGGUCAGAGGUACUCCAGGGGUAGGGGUGAAAUCCAUUAAUCCUUGGGGGACCACCGGUAGCGAAGGCGUCUGACCAGACCAGCUCCGACGGUGAGGGACGAAGGCUAGGGACGCGAACCGGAUUAGAUACCCGGGUAGUCCUAGCUGUAAACGAUGCGGGCUAGGUGUUGGCAUUACUGCGAGUGGUGCCAGUGCCGAAGGGAAGCCGUUAAGCUCGCCAUCUGGGGAGUACGGUCGCAAGGCUUAAACUUAAAGGAAUUGGCGGGGGAGCACCACAACGGGUGGAGCCUGCGGUUCAAUUGGAUCAACGCCGGA
This 911-nucleotide ribosomal RNA is filed under the name uncultured archaeon. RNAcentral's name for it is "bacterial SSU rRNA". It matches the Rfam family "Archaeal small subunit ribosomal RNA", at positions 23 to 922 of the family's 1478-position model. The record is from RNAcentral.